This 207-nucleotide ribosomal RNA is filed under the name uncultured bacterium. RNAcentral's name for it is "partial 16S ribosomal RNA". It matches the Rfam family "Bacterial small subunit ribosomal RNA", at positions 568 to 774 of the family's 1533-position model. The record is from RNAcentral.
CGCGUAGGCGGGCUGCCAAGUCAGUGGUGAAAUCUUUCAGCUCAACUGGAAAAGUGCCGCUGAUACUGGCAGUCUCGAGGGAGGUAGGGGUCGAUGGAACUAAUGGUGGAGCGGUGAAAUGCGUAGAUAUCAUUAGGAACGCCGGUGGCGAAAGCGAUCGACUGGACCUCUUCUGACGCUGAGGCGCGAAAGCCAGGGGAGCAAACG